UUCUGAAACGGCAGCGGAGAGAGGAGGCGUGAAGAGUUUGAGGUGGUGAUGAAGUUUUGUCAAAGCAAAGCCCUCGCAUCAUCGCAGUGCUCAUCCUCUUGUCCGGUUACGUUUUAAAACUCCUGAAGCAGGUUCGAUUGUUGUGACUCUCUCUCUCAUCAUCUGUGUUUUCUUAAUUUCGGGUAUUGAUUUUUAGGGUUUUCAGAUCUGUUUAUCCAUGUCAAUUAUGAUUCCUUUUUUUUUUUGGAAAGCCAAUGUCAGGAUUACCCAGGUGAAGUUUGGAUUGUUCUUUUAAGAUGUAUCCUCGGAUUUGAUUAGUGAAUCACGUGUUCUGUUCUGAGACUUUCAUUUGAUUCUUAAGAUGGCAAAGGAAGCUAGCGGUGGUGGUGGAGGUGAAGCCGAGCAAGAAGAAGAAGAGAGGUGGAGAAAGAGAGACGACAAAGACACAAAAGGAAGAACAGGAUGCGGCG
This 470-nucleotide long non-coding RNA is filed under the name Brassica napus (rape). RNAcentral describes it as "long non-coding RNA (BNAP_LNC004368)". Lineage: Eukaryota; Viridiplantae; Streptophyta; Magnoliopsida; Brassicales; Brassicaceae. The record is from RNAcentral.